CCCGCUGUAGCUCAGCCUGGUAGAGCGCCCGGCUGUAGAUGGAUUGUAGGAACCGGGUGGUCCGGGGUUCAAGCCCCCGCGGCGGGA
This 87-nucleotide transfer RNA is filed under the name Sulfuracidifex tepidarius. RNAcentral's name for it is "tRNA-Tyr". It matches the Rfam family "tRNA". Rfam says of the family: Transfer RNA (tRNA) molecules are approximately 80 nucleotides in length. Lineage: Archaea; Thermoproteati; Thermoproteota; Thermoprotei; Sulfolobales; Sulfolobaceae. The record is from RNAcentral.